GGGGGCGAUAUGGUAUCGACCGGGCUUGACGAUGUCAGAGUGGCGUGCAGAGGUCCCAGACACCUCUCAAAUCCCUGGAAAAACUUUUAGCUGCCAAUAACAGCUACGCAUUGGCCGCCUGAGGUGGCCCGUCGGCCGAAGAUUCGCCUGCGUUCCUCGGCUGACGUAUAACAGCGGGCUGGCGCGACCGAGUCUGCCUCGGCGAGGUCGCGCGAGACACAGCGAGGCUGGUCCACCCCGCAUCCCGUCGGCAGGAGCCGGGGAGGACGAGAUUCAAAGAGUCGACUACGCACGUAGAAGCUCUGGCUGAGCGGCAACGGGACGCGGGUUCGAUCCCCGCCGCCUCCACUA
This 351-nucleotide transfer-messenger RNA is filed under the name Planctomycetota. RNAcentral describes it as "DRQF01 sp011369445 Standard tmRNA". It matches the Rfam family "transfer-messenger RNA". From Rfam's summary of the family: Bacterial tmRNA, also known as 10Sa RNA or SsrA, is named for its dual tRNA and mRNA-like properties. Its role is to liberate the mRNA from a stalled ribosome. To accomplish this part of the tmRNA is used as a reading frame that ends in a translation stop signal. Lineage: Bacteria; Pseudomonadati. The record is from RNAcentral. RNAcentral also lists the same sequence under 1 other name.